Long non-coding RNA from Ailuropoda melanoleuca (giant panda), 3574 nucleotides. RefSeq lists it as uncharacterized. The transcript is spliced from 2 exons. The record is from RefSeq and is a predicted model, not a curated record. Lineage: Eukaryota; Metazoa; Chordata; Mammalia; Carnivora; Ursidae.
CUAGCGGAGCCUGGUGCGGGGCUCGAUCCCAGAACGCCGGGAUCACGCCCUGAGCCGAAGGCAAGACGCUUAACGACUGCACCACCCAGGCGCCCCUGAAUUCACAUUAUUAUGUGAAGUAUUGCAAAGUUAGGAAUUGAAAUCCAGAUGCUUUUCCUGAGGUUAUAUUUUUAUUUCUGCAGGUCCCGCUCAGUCUGGAAUUUUGUCCGACCGUGAAGUGGUCAAUCUCUUUCUUCAUUUUACUGUCAAUCCUAAACCCCGAGUGGAAUACAUUGACCGGCCCCGUUGCUGUCUGCGGGGGAAGGAGUGCUGCAUCAACAGGUUCCAGCAGGUGGAGAGCCGCUGGGGCUACAGCGGCACCAGCGACCGCAUCAGUUACGACAACAGUCAAGAGUCGGGGAGGUGCAGCACCUCCUCGCUGGACCGUGAGUGAGAGGACUUCUCAGGAAACAAGUGAAGGUAGAAAGGCUUGGGGAGGGUUUGUGCGGCCUGGGUUCUGUUUGGACUGCCACCGCUGGCCAGCGGGCUCUGCACCGUAAUUAUCAGACACUGCUCUAACAGCAUUUAACAGGAGCUUUCUCUUCGCAUGGGAGAUAGCUCCAUAUCCAGUUACAAACCCUUGAAUGGGAAAAAAAUCAAGAAUCUUGAAAGACACAUGGAUAAAAUCCUGUUGAGGAAUUUAUCUUUAUUGUGUUUUCUUUAGGUUAAAUAUCAAAAUAGAAUAAGUACCAGUUUUCAUAAAAAAGACCUUUUGGAUCUUUACUUACUUAAUAGCACUUCAGUAUCAAACUAGGGACUAAUAAUAAGUUUGUUAAAAAAUAAAAUUCUGAGGGGGAAAUAAAUGCAUUUGUGGACUUCUUAAUAAUUAUUCACAAUGAGAACGUUAUAUAUGAAAACCUAUGAGAUGAGGCCAAAGUGUCACAUAAAAGGACAGUAAUAAUGUCUACUUUUAAUAAAUAAAUUAGAGUAGAAAUAAAUGAUUUAAGCAUUCAACUCAAGUAUUUAGAAAAUGAAUAGCAAAAGAAAAUAGAAAAGAGAAGGGAAAUAGAUAAAUGUAGGAAUUAAUGAAUUUAAAACAGUAGAAUUAAGAAAUCCGUAAGCCGGUUCCUUAAAAAAGUCAGCAAAAUAAAUAAACCUCAAAAACAGUAAAGGAAGAAAGCAUACAUUUAGAAGUAAUAAUGGGGAUAUAAUCAUAUACUAAGGCAAUUUUUAUUUUAAUUCUGAGUUUACUCUGUGCUAAUAAAUUGAACAUCUUGAUGGAAUGGAUCAUUUUAUAGGCAAAUAUAAAUUAUCAAAAUUGACUGAAGAAGAAAGCCUGAAUAGACCAAUUACCAAUGGAAGGAAUUAAAAGUUAUCAAAGAACUGUCCCUUCACAAGGUGGUUUUUACAGGUGAGUUUUAUCAAACCUUCAAGGAACAGGUCAUUUCCUUGAGCAUUAAAAGAAGAAAAUACUUCUUGGUUAAUUAUUGAAAGAAGCGUAACACUUAAUGCAGGAAUCUGAUGAGACAAGAACAUUUCCAGAUCAGUCUCAUAGGUACAGAAGAACUUAUGCGUAAGACAUCAGUGUCUUGAAUCUAGCAAUACCUGAGCAAACAUUACUGUACGAGCAAACAGGGUUUAUUUGAAGACUGAGAAAAUGGCUCAAUAUUAGGAAAUAUAUUAAAUAUCCAUUCACCACAGUAGCAGAUCAAGGAAGAAAAGGAAUUUGAUUGUUUCAGUAGGUGUCAGAAAGACUUUAUAAAAUUUCACCUUCAUUCUAGUCUGUUAAUAGACUAGAAAAAUUCUUUCAUGUGAUAGACUGUCAAAACCUCAAGGUAGUGAUGCUGGCUGGUCUUGCUGUGUUUCAGCAGUAUUCUUAUAAUUCUGGGUGAUGUGAUUUAUUUAUGAUUGUCAUAAAGGAUUAAGAGAUUGAAUACUGAAAAGGAAGAAAUCUUUUUCAUUAUUUGCAGAUGACAUUAUCUACAUUAGUACCAUUUUUCCCUUUUUUAUAAUAAAAUGUUUUAUAUUCCCUCUUUAUAAUUUUAUAAUAAAAUGUUUUAUAUUCCCUCUUUACUAACCUGAUGAAAUUCAUAGACUGUAUACUUCACACAUUGUUUUUAAUUACCAUAACGACCUAGUUGUAGUAGAGCAAUAAAUAUAACUGAGAUCAAAUAAAAUAAUGUGUAGGCACUGGAGCAGGACCACACUAGAAGACAGAAGGAAGCAGUCAGUCCGUGUGCACACCAGCGUACCAAGACAGCUACGCUUGCAGGGACAGGCGUGGCAUACCAGCAUGUCAAAAACCAGGAGCAGUGUUGCUGCCAAUAAUGUCAUUUUUUUAAAGGUUUCAAAUAAAACAAAGUACAGUUAGUCCUAUUUAUUUAGUUUCUAGAUUGGCGACACUCUUACUCACUAAAAUUUAUUUGUACUCCCAAAAUCGAUACUUGCAGUGCUUGCUUAAAUCACAGGAAAGAUUUUCCUUGCCUAGGAAGUAUGUUCCUAUCUGAGGGUCACACAAGGAGAUGCUCUCUGCCUUCUUAUCUCUGCUCUCCUGGGAAUGGAGACAGUAGAGGGCAGUACGGUGUAGUGCAGGACAGGCUCUGGGGCCAUGUGGGCAGUAUGAAUCCUGACUCGGCACCUGCUGGUGGGUGGCCUCAGGCAAGUCACUUAACACUUCUGAACCUUUGUUGUCUCUUCUGUAAAAUAAAGAAAUUGGAAUCUACUAGGAUGAGCUGUUUUUAGGAUUAUAACCCCCUGUGAAGUGUGUCUGUGUCUGUGUGUGUGUGUGUGUGUGUCUGUGUGUGUGUGUGUGUACACGUUCCCCCCAGGAGCAAUGGUUUAGUAUUUGUGGCAACUUUAUAGAAUAUGAUUACUACAAGUAAGAAUUGACUAUAUGAUAUUUCUGCUAUAUGGUAAUCACCUCUUGUAAAGGUCAGUGAAUAUUAAAAUUGUCAAAAGCUUUGGUUUAUGCUGAAACGGUGUGUGAUGCUGGGGACUUGGGGACCUGCUCUGCAAGGAGAACAGAGGGUUGGAUAUAAUCCCCUGAUUCCUUCAUGUGUACAGACAUAAGACACAUCCUCUCUGCAGAAAUAAUUUCGCUUUAAAACAACAACAAAAUCUUUGGUUUGUAAAUAAAGUAGAAUUAGGUUGAACUCUUGUAGUUAUAAAUGAGUUUUUGACCUACAUGAAUUCUGAUGGGACACUUGAAAGUUGAUUGGGAUUCUUUGUGGGGAGGCUGUCCUGAUCACUGCAGUUACCCUGGUGCCCCUGGCUCCCUGCCAGCAGUGCCCCUAAACCUUUGUGAAAACAGAGCUUGGCCUUCUUGAGGAAAGAACUCCUUUUGAGAACAACGGAACAUCUGAAUAACCUCAGGAUCAGUAAAAAUCUGUUAGAACCAAUGGAAGAGAAUAGUGGCCACUUGUGAAAUGUAUAUGUAAAAACCAUUGAUGUUCCUGUGUCGUCAGAAUUCCGUGACAGAGAUGGAUGGUGGCAGGGGUUGAAUGUCCUCAGUGCCACUGAACUACACACUUGAAAAUGGCUAAGAUGGUUCGUUUUGUUGUAUAUUUUGCCACAAUAAAAGGCUAAAAUUUAAAAA